UACGGGAGGCAGCAGUGGGGAAUAUUGCACAAUGGGCGCAAGCCUGAUGCAGCCAUGCCGCGUGUAUGAAGAAGGCCUUCGGGUUGUAAAGUACUUUUCAGUCGUGAGGAAGGUGUUAAGGUUAAUAACCUUAGCAAUUGACGUUAGCGACAGAAGAAGCACCGGCUAACUCCGUGCCAGCAGCCGCGGUAAUACGGAGGGUGCGAGCGUUAAUCGGAAUUACUGGGCGUAAAGGGCACGCAGGCGGUUAAUUAAGUUGGAUGUGAAAUCCCCGGGCUUAACCUGGGAAUGGCAUUCAAGACUGGUUAGCUAGAGUCUUGUAGAGGGGGUAGAAUUCCAUGUGUAGCGGUGAAAUGCGUAGAGAUGUGGAGGAAUACCGGUGGCGAAGGCGGCCCCUGGACAAAGGCUGACGCUCAUGUGCGAAAGCGUGGGGAGCAAACAGGGAUUAGAU
RNAcentral lists this ribosomal RNA (451 nucleotides) under uncultured bacterium. RNAcentral's name for it is "bacterial SSU rRNA". It matches the Rfam family "Bacterial small subunit ribosomal RNA", at positions 340 to 783 of the family's 1533-position model. The record is from RNAcentral.